AGAGUUUGAUCCUGGCUCAGAGCGAACGCUGGCGGCAGGCUUAACACAUGCAAGUCGAGCGCGUGUAGCAAUACACGAGCGGCAGACGGGAGAGUAACACGUGGGAACGCGCCCUUCGGUUCGGAAUAACUCAGGGAAACUUGAGCUAAUACCGGAUACGCCCUUACGGGGAAAGAUUUAUUGCCGAAGGAACGGCCCGCGUCCGAUUAGCUAGUUGGUGAGGUAACGGCUCACCAAGGCGACGAUCGGUAGCUGGUCUGAGAGGAUGACCAGCCUCACUGGGACUGAGACACGGCCCAGACUCCUACGGGAGGCAGCAGUGGGGAAUAUUGGACAAUGGGCGCAAGCCUGAUCCAGCCAUGCCGCGUGGAUGAUGAAGGCCCUACGGUUGUAAAGU
RNAcentral lists this ribosomal RNA (397 nucleotides) under uncultured Pseudolabrys sp. RNAcentral describes it as "bacterial SSU rRNA". It matches the Rfam family "Bacterial small subunit ribosomal RNA", at positions 8 to 431 of the family's 1533-position model. Lineage: Bacteria; Pseudomonadati; Pseudomonadota; Alphaproteobacteria; Hyphomicrobiales; Xanthobacteraceae. The record is from RNAcentral.